AGAGCAGCAGAAGGAUCUGAGUGUCUGUACUAAUCCUCACUUAGAUACUGCUCUGCACGA
MicroRNA precursor from Gallus gallus (chicken), 60 nucleotides. NCBI's taxonomy places the organism in Eukaryota, Metazoa, Chordata, Aves, Galliformes, Phasianidae. The record is from Ensembl.